This is a long non-coding RNA of Xiphophorus hellerii (green swordtail), 1970 nucleotides long. RefSeq lists it as uncharacterized. NCBI's taxonomy places the organism in Eukaryota, Metazoa, Chordata, Actinopteri, Cyprinodontiformes, Poeciliidae. The record is from RefSeq and is a predicted model, not a curated record. The transcript has 5 exons.
CAACGACAGGUGCGUGCCACAGGUUGACUUUAAUAGUUUGAACGACUCCCGCGCCCGCUUGGUUUUUGAGGUUUAUCGUUAUCUCCAGCAGGUGGUGUGUGCUGUACUGAGAGGUUAAUACAAUUAUAUCUAAUGCAGUCAAGCUUCUCUGCAAGUGCAAGCACAUGACACGUUUUCCAUCAGCAGGGUGAUUAGAGAGGCAGAAUUUAAGACGUUGCUUCUGAUUUCAGCUUCUUUCCUUGCUGCUACCUGCUUUGCAAACAUGACACCAACAGGUCAGGACAAAUGCAUCAGUCUUCAGAAUCCUGCGCUCAUCAUUUUAGCCGAUAUGCUGUUGACCUGGUGCCAGCACUGCAAAACAGGACAAGUAAUUUAAUUUGCCAUCACCGCCAACCUUGAAGAGAGGAAUAUAGGCUAGCAGAAUCCCAAUUGGGAGCUAGACCAAUCCCGUGCUGUGCAGGACCCGCUACUGGAGAAAGUGUUUGUUGACUUUAUGGCACAGACUUGCACAGCUCUGUAGGGGAGCAGACUGUUAUUUAUGGCUCAAGGCCUCAUGUGAUUGGCUGAGGAGGGAUAUAAUUAUGUGGGGAAAUUUUAAGAAUCACAAUGGCUUCCACGUUGAAAUGACUGGUUGCUAGGUUACUAAGUGAGGAAGAUGUUUUUAAGUGAUUUUCAAAUACUGUUUUAGUUACUUACUAUCAGCCCAUUUCAACAAAACUUCUUAGUGUCGAAUAACCUCAUUAGCAGUUUAUGGCAUUGUGAGAUUGUUCUUCAUUGUUCUUCACACUUUAUUUUAAAGUGUGACUUUAAGCACUAAAAAUGACCGAUGCUAAGAAGCUAGCAGAGACAUCUUUUUAGAAACUAAUUUGGUCCCAUAGAGUCGAACAGUGCUGUCAGGUCACAGCAGGAAGGUUCUUGAUUCAGCUGAGGAAUUUUGUGCCCAUUCCUUGGCUCAUGGUGUAGGAUUUCUUUCCAAAAUAUACAGUAUUUUUUAUUAUGUGUAUCAGCCAGUCAGGUGUAACUCUUAAAGAUGAAUUAAUGGAAAGGCACAACAUAAUCAUGUAAAAAAAAUCUAAAUUCCAAUCUGAACAGUAAUGCAAGUAGAUGACUUGAGUGUAGAAGUAUGCAUAUCUUCCUGUCUAACAACAGUCUCUGGAUUUUGCAUUUGCUUCUGCUUCCGUAUUAUGCAUGUUGGUUGCACAGGGACCUCUGACAGACUAAUGGGAUUAAUUUGAAACACUCUUCUGCUUUUGGUGUUUUAUACAAAUGAAGCAAAAUUACAAACAUGCAUUUUUCGGCCUGCUACGCAUUGUGAGAUACUUCACCACUGUGGUGUGGCUAAUCCUGUUUUGUAUUCCAUACCAUGACUCGUGAUCACUGUCUUCAAUAAUACAUGUGUGGCCAUAUCACGAGAAAAAAAACCCUCCACGAUCUGAGGGGAAUUGAGGCUCAAAGAGUAAUCCUCAUCUAAUCCUUUUAUUUUGAAUACAUAGAAUGCCACAGUUAAUGGAGUGAUGUGUCUAUUUUUUUCAUAACUGCACUGACUAGCAGUAAUGCCUUGCCCUUUUUGUACUACCAUGUGUUGUCAGACAUACAUCAACAAACAGAUUGUGCUCAUCUGUUGUUUGUUUCUAAAGGAAAUGCUUGGUGUGUCAGAGUCAUUAACUAUGAUUCCUCCUUUCCUACGCAUUGGCAGUGCAGACGUUUAUAAUAAGUAGAUAAUUGAAACAUUUUAAGCGCAAAUAAAAGUACUAGGUUUUGCAUCAGUGGGUUAUAUGAUGUGGAGUUACAGCUCUACUUUCACCCUCUGUACAUCUCUUUGUCACAUGAACUUCAGCCAGAUGACUUCUAUGCCUGCAGCGUCUAGUUACAGUGAAGGUUGCUCUGAUUCUGGCUUGGGAUCCAUUUGCAAAUCUGCCUACAUAUCUGGUGACAGUUGGGGAAAGAUAAGGCACUCGUAAAUAAACUUG